Molecule: ribosomal RNA, 464 nt
Filed under: uncultured bacterium
Lineage: Bacteria
Description: partial 16S ribosomal RNA
Rfam family: Bacterial small subunit ribosomal RNA
Source: RNAcentral
GACGAACGCUGGCGGCGUGCUUAACACAUGCAAGUCGAACGGUAAGGCCCCAGCUUGCUGGGGUACACGAGUGGCGAACGGGUGAGUAACACGUGGGUGACCUGCCCCGCACUUCGGGAUAAGCCUGGGAAACUGGGUCUAAUGCCGGAUAGGACCGCACCGUGAGGGUGUGGUGGAAAGUUUUUCGGUGUGGGAUGGGCCCGCGGCCUAUCAGCUUGUUGGUGGGGUAAUGGCCUACCAAGGCGGCGACGGGUAGCCGGCCUGAGAGGGUGGACGGCCACAUUGGGACUGAGACACGGCCCAGACUCCUACGGGAGGCAGCAGUGGGGAAUAUUGCACAAUGGGCGGAAGCCUGAUGCAGCGACGCCGCGUGGGGGAUGACGGCCUUCGGGUUGUAAACUCCUUUCACCAUCGACGAAGGUUUUCUGACGGUAGAUGGAGAAGAAGCACCGGCUAACUACGUG